AAUAAUUUAUUUGAUGGUUUCUUACUACAUGGAUAACUGUAGUAAUUCUAGAGCUAAUACAUGCGUAAAGUCCCGACUCUUGCGGGGAGGGAUGUAUUUAUUAGAUAAAAAACCAAUGCGGGCUCUGCCCGGUUUUGUGGUGAAUCAUAGUAACUUUUCGAAUCGCAUGGCUUCACGCCGGCGAUAGUUCAUUCAAAUUUCUGCCCUAUCAGCUUUCGACGGUAGUGUAGUGGACUACCGUGGCGUUAACGGGUAACGGAGAAUUAGGAUUCGAUUCCGGAGAGGGAGCCUGAGAAACGGCUACCACA
This 308-nucleotide ribosomal RNA is filed under the name uncultured eukaryote. Its description in RNAcentral is "SSU rRNA". It matches the Rfam family "Eukaryotic small subunit ribosomal RNA", at positions 111 to 414 of the family's 1831-position model. The record is from RNAcentral.